This 551-nucleotide ribosomal RNA is filed under the name Acanthopagrus latus (yellowfin seabream). Its description in RNAcentral is "partial 16S ribosomal RNA". It matches the Rfam family "Bacterial large subunit ribosomal RNA", at positions 1817 to 2571 of the family's 2925-position model. Lineage: Eukaryota; Metazoa; Chordata; Actinopteri; Spariformes; Sparidae. The record is from RNAcentral.
CGCCUCUUGCAAAAUAAAUGAAUAAGAGGUCCCGCCUGCCCUGUGACUAUAUGUUCAACGGCCGCGGUAUUUUGACCGUGCGAAGGUAGCGCAAUCACUUGUCUUUUAAAUGAAGACCUGUAUGAAUGGCAUCACGAGGGCUUAGCUGUCUCCCCCUCCCAGUCAAUGAAAUUGAUUUUCCCGUGCAGAAGCGGGAAUAAGAACAUAAGACGAGAAGACCCUAUGGAGCUUAAGACGCCAGGACAGCUCAUGUUAAACACCCCAGAACAAAGGGAAUAAACUUAGUGAAACCCUGCCCUAGUGUCUUUGGUUGGGGCGACCACGGGGAAAAACUUAACCCCCAUGCGGAAUAGGAAUACUAUUUUCCUAGACUCAAGAGCUCCCGCUCUAAUAGACAGAAUUUCUGACCAAAAGGAUCCGGCAAUGCCGAUCAACGGACCGAGUUACCCUAGGGAUAACAGCGCAAUCCUCUUUAAGAGUCCCUAUCGACAAGAGGGUUUACGACCUCGAUGUUGGAUCAGGACAUCCUAAUGGUGCAGCCGCUAUAAGGG